AGGUACUCGGAGAAAUAGGGAAAGCUAACCCGAAGCUCUGGUGGUGAUAUAUGUAAAUAUCAUAUCCAAGAUCCUUAUAACCAAUUCUCAACAAAUCACCAGAUUUAUCCUGACAAAAUCAUAUGUAUAUUGAGACUUUAGAUAAUUUCAUGGGGAUGUAAUUAGAGUAAAUAAAAGUUAGCAAGAAAAUUAAAAUUAGAGUGGCAAAAGAAAUACAUAAACUGACUUGAGUACUUAAUUGGCAAAGAACUAUCAAUUAUACAAAAUAUUAACAACUACACAAUACUAUGAUCCCAAACUAAAAUUCUUGCUCAAAAUCACAAAACAACAAAUCAGUCAAUUAGAGGUUCAGUCUAAAGUAAUAAAUAGAGAGUAAAACUAAAAUUUUGAACUAUCUAGGUCGAAUAGAAAAAAUCUGGAGCUUAAAAGUUGGUCGGCCAAAUCACAUAUACACGAAAUGAUCACAAUCUACAUAUAUAAAGUACAAAACUUGGGCAUUAACCUUGAAAUAAACCCUAAACCAAAAAAUAAAAUAAAAAAGUAACAAAAUAGUACUGAUAUAUGCGAAAAAUAGAUAAAUAAAAAGCUUACAAGAUGAAGAAUCUUCAUCUGUAGAGCUCAAAUUCUGAAUCUUCCGGUCGCCAGAGAGAAUCGCGAAAAAAAUACCUAACCAGAGAAAAAAGAGAGAGGAUUGGAAGAAGAGCGGUGUUGCGGGAGAGGGGGGAAUGAGGGCUAACCUGACCGCGGCGACCUUUGUUGUGAAUGUUCUAACUUUGAUUUUUCCUCUCUUCCUUCGAGUGAAACAAAUGGAAUUUGAGACUUUGGGGAUUUGAGAGUUUUGGAUUAGCAAUUUUAGGGAUUUUUGGUUAACAAAUAGAUUUGAAGAUUUGGGAAUUUAGGUGUGAUGGUGAUUUGAGGAAGGUGAGAAUAGGUUUUGUGGUUAUUUGAGGAAGGUGGAGGUUUGCUGGGUUUGGAAUGUCUGCUGCCAAAAAAUAUAGCUUGAGGAAGACGAGUGCAUCGUAAGAAGAAAC
RNAcentral lists this long non-coding RNA (1031 nucleotides) under Nicotiana benthamiana. Its description in RNAcentral is "long non-coding RNA (NBEN_LNC035092)". The record is from RNAcentral. Lineage: Eukaryota; Viridiplantae; Streptophyta; Magnoliopsida; Solanales; Solanaceae.